AAAUAAACUACAAUGGAAGAUCAACACAAGAACUCAAAUCCCAUUCUAGGCCUUAGCCAUCCUUGAAUGUAUACAAAUCCGAACCAAAAACUCAUCAUAAAACAAGACUAAAACCUUAAAAACUCCACUUACAUGACUCUCUUAAAGCUCAACAAAGACUCACAACAAAAAACCAUGAUGAACUCUCCACUCCGAGAUCACUUGUAGAUGCUCUCCCAAUGUGCCUCCUCCAAAACCGAGAGAAAGACGGCCAACAAUGUGCCCUCCCCCACUCGGGCCGGAGUGAGACCUCUUACCUCAAUCCAAUGGGGGAGGAGGGGUACUUAUAGAUCCGAGAGCACAUCCUCAUCAAGCUUGCAACAUCUCUUUUCCUUCUUGAGCUUUGAUCCUUUCCUCAUUUUGCCACACAAAUCCAAGCUUUUCCAAAAUCCUACACAUAACAAUCCAAAUAAGACAUAAAGGGGACAAGAGAGUAGAUAGAUGUACCUUGAUGAAGCUUUUGCCGGUGUUGGAGGGUGAAGGUGGUUGUGGAGUUGUUGGAAGGUGGAAAAAAUGGUGGAG
Molecule: unclassified non-coding RNA, 561 nt
Filed under: Hevea brasiliensis (rubber tree)
Lineage: Eukaryota; Viridiplantae; Streptophyta; Magnoliopsida; Malpighiales; Euphorbiaceae
Source: RNAcentral